GUGGGGAAUAUUGGACAAUGGGCGAAAGCCUGAUCCAGCCAUGCCGCGUGUGUGAAGAAGGUCUUCGGAUUGUAAAGCACUUUAAGUUGGGAGGAAGGGCAGUAAGUUAAUACCUUGCUGUUUUGACGUUACCGACAGAAUAAGCACCGGCUAACUUCGUGCCAGCAGCCGCGGUAAUACGAAGGGUGCAAGCGUUAAUCGGAAUUACUGGGCGUAAAGCGCGCGUAGGUGGUUUGGUAAGUUGGAGGUGAAAUCCCCGGGCUCAACCUGGGAACUGCCUCAAAAACUGAAUGACUAGAGUACGGUAGAGGGUAGUGGAAUUUCCUGUGUAGCGGUGAAAUGCGUAGAUAUAGGAAGGAACACCAGUGGCGAAGGCGACUACCUGGACUGAUACUGACACUGAGGUGCGAAAGCGUGGGGAGCAAACAGGAUUAGAAACCCUGGUAGUCC
RNAcentral lists this ribosomal RNA (450 nucleotides) under uncultured bacterium. Its description in RNAcentral is "bacterial SSU rRNA". It matches the Rfam family "Bacterial small subunit ribosomal RNA", at positions 354 to 796 of the family's 1533-position model. The record is from RNAcentral.